This 292-nucleotide ribosomal RNA is filed under the name uncultured bacterium. RNAcentral's name for it is "partial 16S ribosomal RNA". It matches the Rfam family "Bacterial small subunit ribosomal RNA", at positions 505 to 796 of the family's 1533-position model. The record is from RNAcentral.
GUGUCAGCAGCCGCGGUAAUACGUAGGUGGCGAGCGUUGUCCGGAUUUACUGGGCGUAAAGGGCGUGCAGGCGGUUUGUUAAGUCCAGGGUGAAAGCUCCCGGCUCAACUGGGAGAGGUCCUUGGAUACUGGCAGACUUGAGGUGGGUAGAGGAAAGUGGAAUUCCCGGUGUAGUGGUGAUAUGCGUAGAUAUCGGGAGGAACACCAGUGGCGAAGGCGGCUUUCUGGACCCAACCUGACGCUGAGACGCGAAAGCGUGGGGAGCGAACCGGAUUAGAUACCCCAGUAGUCC